This 200-nucleotide long non-coding RNA is filed under the name Lathyrus oleraceus (garden pea). RNAcentral describes it as "Pisum sativum (pea) long non-coding RNA (PSAT_LNC039967)". Lineage: Eukaryota; Viridiplantae; Streptophyta; Magnoliopsida; Fabales; Fabaceae. The record is from RNAcentral.
AGUUACAGAUGAAAGUAGAUGAUGCUGGAGAAAUGAGAGACUAGUGGACAGUGAGUAAAAGACGCGAUCCCGAACUUUCUCCCGAGGCAACAUGGAAGGUGACACAGUUGAGAAACAAAAGGUUGGACACAACUUGGAAAUCCAAACCGAAAAAGGAGAAGGUAAGCCCAAUCUGAUAAAAGAAGCUGUCUAUCAUAAAG